UGGCAUCGAGACUGGAUGAAAGGUGGCCUCUAUUUAUAAGCUAUCACUGAAGGAGGGGAUUGCGUCUGAUUAGCUAGUUGGAGGGGUAACGGCCCACCAAGGCGAUGAUCAGUAGCCGGUCUGAGAGGAUGAACGGCCACAUUGGGGGUGAGACACGGCCCAGACUCCUACGGGAGGCAGCAGUGGGGAAUCUUCCGCAAUGGACGAAAGUC
Molecule: ribosomal RNA, 212 nt
Filed under: uncultured bacterium
Lineage: Bacteria
Description: partial 16S ribosomal RNA
Rfam family: Bacterial small subunit ribosomal RNA
Source: RNAcentral